GACGAACGCUGGCGGCGUGCUUAACACAUGCAAGUCGAACGGAAAGGCCCUGCUUUUGUGGGGUGCUCGAGUGGCGAACGGGUGAGUAACACGUGAGUAACCUGCCCUUGACUUUGGGAUAACUUCAGGAAACUGGGGCUAAUACCGGAUAGGAGCUCCUGCUGCAUGGUGGGGGUUGGAAGGUUUCGGCGGUUGGGGAUGGACUCGCGGCUUAUCAGCUUGUUGGUGGGGUAGUGGCUUACCAAGGCUUUGACGGGUAGCCGGCCUGAGAGGGUGACCGGCCACAUCGGGACUGAGAUACGGCCCAGACUCCUACGGGAGGCAGCAGUGGGGAAUAUUGCACAAUGGGCGGAAGCCUGAUGCAGCAACGCCGCGUGCGGGAUGACGGCCUUCGGGUUGUAAACCGCUUUCGCCUGUGACGAAGCGUGAGUGACGAUAAUGGGUAAAGAAACACCGGCUAACUACGU
Molecule: ribosomal RNA, 467 nt
Filed under: uncultured bacterium
Lineage: Bacteria
Description: partial 16S ribosomal RNA
Rfam family: Bacterial small subunit ribosomal RNA
Source: RNAcentral